Molecule: ribosomal RNA, 252 nt
Filed under: uncultured Bacteroidales bacterium
Lineage: Bacteria; Pseudomonadati; Bacteroidota; Bacteroidia; Bacteroidales
Description: partial 16S ribosomal RNA
Rfam family: Bacterial small subunit ribosomal RNA
Source: RNAcentral
UACGGAGGAUGCGAGCGUUAUCCGGAUUUAUUGGGUUUAAAGGGUGCGCAGGCGGAUUUUUAAGUCAGCGGUCAAAUCGUGGGGCUCAACCCCAUCCAGCCGUUGAAACUGCAUCCCUUGAGUGCGCGAGAAGUAUGCGGAAUGCGUGGUGUAGCGGUGAAAUGCAUAGAUAUCGCGCAGAACCCCGAUUGCGAAGGCAGCCUGCCGGCCCCACACUGACGCUGAGGCACGAAAGCGUGGGUAUCGAACAGG